RNAcentral lists this unclassified non-coding RNA (843 nucleotides) under Hevea brasiliensis (rubber tree). The record is from RNAcentral. Lineage: Eukaryota; Viridiplantae; Streptophyta; Magnoliopsida; Malpighiales; Euphorbiaceae.
GGAGAAUUCAAUAAAGUAGUCGAUGUUUACAUGCUGACUGUUCUCCUGAUAAUCACAUCACUCUUCUUAAAAUGGUCACCAACACUAUUUCUGCCAAGAGUCUGAAUGCUCAUAACGCAUCACACAAGGCUAAAGCAAAUAAAGAGAAGAAGAAAAAAGAAUGCUCCUAGACUACCAAAAUCACAAGAAUGCCAAUCGGCGAUUUUUGUUCGAUACAAUAUAUAACGUAUUUCAACACAAGCAUUUGUAUCCUAUAUAUAAUCCUUUACACCCUAUCACUUGAGAUACUCCAAGCAGUGGCUCUUAACUUUUCUCUCAUGUAAUUAUCUGAGCUUUGAGUCACUUCCCUUGCUUCGGAAUGAUGAAAGAGAGAAGAACGAUCGUGGAGCUUUAAUAGAGCUUCCAGACAUAUGAUCAUCCCUCAGUUUGAAGUUUGCCGGAGGUGCUGGUAUGGAGCUAUGAAUAGCUUGAUCUUGCUCAUGGAACAACUCGCUUUCAUUGAAGCCAUAAUCAGAAGGAUGACUCUGUGAGAAUCCCAUUCUUGACUUCCUCAAGUCUUCUGAUGUCCGAUUGGCAAGAUCUCGCCCAUCUUCUGUAUCAUCAUCUCCCUCAGAAGUCGUCGCAGAAAUCCAGUCAACCAAACUCUCGGUCCCACGACUUUUCCUUCCAAACUUUAACAACCGUUUAAACCCUUUUGUCACAUCCUUGCGUGACUGAUUAUGGGACGAAUUAGCAACUAGAACAGGUUUCUGAGCACUUCCCCACUUCUUCCUCAUUUGAGCUGCAUCAGAGUCUGUAUGGGUAAGAGAUUGAGAAUUCCAUGAAGCAGGGCUUCCAACUGGG